Molecule: ribosomal RNA, 392 nt
Filed under: uncultured bacterium
Lineage: Bacteria
Description: partial 16S ribosomal RNA
Rfam family: Bacterial small subunit ribosomal RNA
Source: RNAcentral
AUACGGAGGAUCCGAGCGUUAUCCGGAUUAAUUGGGUUUAAAGGGUGCGCAGGCGGCCAUUUAAGUCAGCGGUUAAAUCGUGGGGCUCAACCCCAUUCUGCCGUUGAUACUGGGUGGCUUGAUUGCGGUCGAGGUUGGCGGAAUUCGUUGUGUAGCGGUGAAAUGCAUAGAUAUGACGAAGAACACCGAUUGCGUAGGCAGCUGACCAGACCGCAAAUGACGCUCAUGCACGAAAGUGCGGGGAUCGAACAGGAUUAGAUACCCUGGUAGUCCGCACAGUAAACGAUGAAUACUUGUUUUCGGCGAUAUAAUGUCGGAGGCAAAGCGAAAGCGAUAAGUAUUCCACCUGGGGAGUACGCCGGCAACGGUGAAACUCAAAUGAAUUGACGGGG